This 554-nucleotide ribosomal RNA is filed under the name uncultured archaeon. RNAcentral's name for it is "bacterial SSU rRNA". It matches the Rfam family "Archaeal small subunit ribosomal RNA", at positions 322 to 879 of the family's 1478-position model. The record is from RNAcentral.
CCUUCGGGGCGCCGCGGAUUCAUUUCUUAGCAAUGUGCGAAAGCACGACUAGGUUAAUCCGAGUGGUUCCUGCUAAAGGAACCUUUUGUCAGUCGUAAAACCACAGACGAAUAAGGGGUGGGCAAGUCUGGUGUCAGCCGCCGCGGUAAUACCAGCACCUCGAGUGGUCAGGAGGUUUAUUGGGCCUAAAGCAUCCGUAGCCGGCUUUGCAAGUCUCCGGUUAAAUCCAGCUGCUUAACAGAUGGGCUGCCGGAGAUACUACAAAGCUAGGGAGCGGGAGAGGUAGACGGUAUUCUGUGGGUAGGGGUAAAAUCCACUGAUCCAUAGAGGACCACCAGUGGCGAAGGCGGUCUACCAGAACGCGUUCGACGGUAAGGGAUGAAAGCUGGGGGAGCAAACCGGAUUAGAUACCCGGGUAGUCCCAGCUGUAAACGAUGCAAACUCGGUGAUGCAUUGGCUUAUGGCCAAUGCAGUGCCGCAGGGAAGCCGUUAAGUUUGCCGCCUGGGAAGUACGGACGCAAGUCUGAAACUUAAAGGAAUUGGCGGGGGAGCAC